UGGGGAAUAUUGGACAAUGGGCGAAAGCCUGAUCCAGCCAUGCCGCGUGUGUGAAGAAGGUCUUCGGAUUGUAAAGCACUUUAAGUUGGGAGGUAGGGCAUUAACCUAAUACGUUAGUGUUUUGACGUUACCGACAGAAUAAGCACCGGCUAACUCUGUGCCAGCAGCCGCGGUAAUACAGAGGGUGCAAGCGUUAAUCGGAAUUACUGGGCGUAAAGCGCGCGUAGGUGGUUUGUUAAGUUGGAUGUGAAAUCCCCGGGCUCAACCUGGGAACUGCAUUCAAAACUGACUGACUAGAGUAUGGUAGAGGGUGGUGGAAUUUCCUGUGUAGCGGUGAAAUGCGUAGAUAUAGGAAGGAACACCAGUGGCGAAGGCGACCACCUGGACUAAUACUGACACUGAGGUGCGAAAGCGUGGGGAGCAAACA
RNAcentral lists this ribosomal RNA (427 nucleotides) under uncultured bacterium. RNAcentral describes it as "partial 16S ribosomal RNA". It matches the Rfam family "Bacterial small subunit ribosomal RNA", at positions 355 to 774 of the family's 1533-position model. The record is from RNAcentral.